GCAAGUCGAAGGUGAAGCUAGAGCUUGCUCUAGUGGCAACUGGGGGACGGGUGAGUGACGCGUAGGGAUGUGCCUAUGGCUACGGAAUAACCGUUGGAAACGACGGCUAAUACCGUAUACGCCCCAAGGGUGAAAGCUCCGGCGCCCAUAGAGCAACCUGCGUCCGAUUAGCUUGUUGGUGAGGUAAUGGCUCACCAAGGCUCCGAUCGGUAGCUGGUCUGAGAGGAUGGUC
This 232-nucleotide ribosomal RNA is filed under the name uncultured bacterium. Its description in RNAcentral is "partial 16S ribosomal RNA". It matches the Rfam family "Bacterial small subunit ribosomal RNA", at positions 57 to 305 of the family's 1533-position model. The record is from RNAcentral.